RNAcentral lists this ribosomal RNA (199 nucleotides) under uncultured bacterium. Its description in RNAcentral is "partial 16S ribosomal RNA". It matches the Rfam family "Bacterial small subunit ribosomal RNA", at positions 328 to 539 of the family's 1533-position model. The record is from RNAcentral.
ACGCUCGACACCUACGGAGGCAGCAGUUGGGAAUAUUGGACAAUGGAGGAAACUCUGAUCCAGUGACGCCGCGUGAAGGAAGAAGGUCUUCGGAUUGUAAACUUAUUUUGUCAGGGAAGAAAAAAUGACUGUACCUGAAGAAAAAGCACCGGCUAACUACGUGCAAGCAGCCGCGGUAAUCUGAGCGGGCUGGCAAGGC